Molecule: long non-coding RNA, 1090 nt
Filed under: Salmo salar (Atlantic salmon)
Lineage: Eukaryota; Metazoa; Chordata; Actinopteri; Salmoniformes; Salmonidae
Description: lncRNA (ENSSSAG00000101178.1)
Source: RNAcentral
CGGUCAUAAAGGGAUGACCUGCCCGUCGGUCUUAAAGGGAUGACCUGUCUGUCGGUCUUAAAGGGAUGACCUGUCUGUCGGUCUUAAAGGGAUGACCUGCCCGUCUGUCUUAAAGGGAUGACCUGUCUGUCGGUCUUAAAGGGAUGACCUGCCCGUCAGUCUUAAAGGGAUGACCUGUCUGUCGGUCUUAAAGGGAUGACCUGCCUGUCGGUCUUAAAGGGAUGACCUGUCUGUCGGUCUUAAAGGGAUGACCUGUCUGUCGGUCUUAAAGGGAUGACCUGCCCGUCGGUCUUAAAGGGAUGACCUGUCUGUCGGUCAUAAAGGGAUGACCUGCCUGUCGGUCUUAAAGGGAUGACCUGUCUGUCGGUCUUAAAGGGAUGACCUGCCCGUCAGUCUUAAAGGGAUGACCUAUCUAUCGGCCUUAAAGGGAUGGUGUCAGUGUUUUAUGUACCUUGCUGAUGCUAUGUAAUAGGGUUGUAUAGGGUUGUGCACAAUGAUAGUCUGUGUUUACUGUGAACUGUUGUCUGUUAUUUCAUGAUAAUGAUCUGUGCCACAAACCUCGUCAUUCACAGAGUAGAAUCUACAUGUUGGGUUAGAGUGUUUCCAUCUGACAGUACAUCAACAGGAAGGAAACAGAAUUCCCUGUUGUUCUAGAAUCCCUCAGAGCAGAAUCAGCAUCAUGUUCUAGAAUCCCUCAGAGCAGAAUCAUCAUGUUCUAGAAUCCCUCAGAGCAGAAUCAGCAUGUUGUUCUAGAAUCCCUCAGAGCAGAAUCAUCAUGUUGUUCUAGAAUCCCUCAGAGCAGAAUCAUCAUGUUGUUCUAGAAUCCCUCAGAGCAGAAUCAUCAUGUUGUUCUAGAAUCCCUCAGAGCAGAAUCAUCAUGUUCUAGAAUCCCUCAGAGCAGAAUCAUCAUGUUGUUCUAGAAUCCCUCAGAGCAGAAUCAUCAUGUUGUUCUAGAAUCCCUCAGAGCAGAAUCAUCAUGUUCUAGAAUCCCUCAGAGCAGAAUCAUCAUGUUGUUCUAGAAUCCCUCAGAGCAGAAUCAUCAUGUUGUUCUAGAAUCCCUCAGAGCAGAAUCAUCAUGUUGUUCUAGAAU